UUUGAUACGGGAGCCUCUGAGCACAUGUCCAAAGACACAACUCUCUCCACACGCUCUCUGAGAUCUUCGUACGGGGGCGCGACUAAUGCGGGGGGACAAUGAUCAUGAUGUCUACCAUGCAACCCUUAAAUCUUGGCGUCAACUCAACUCCUCAUUGCAUCAACUCAACUCUACUUCAACCAUUUCAUCACAUGACUGGCAUCAUACACUUGGACAUCCGUCUCUUCGUGUGUUCAAGACCUUAGCCAAAUGUUUAGGUCUUCAUUUUGAUUUUGAUAAUUUUCAUUGUAACUCAUGCUCGCUCAAUAAAAGUCAUAAACUCCCGUUUGGCAUGAAUUCUU
This 341-nucleotide long non-coding RNA is filed under the name Helianthus annuus (common sunflower). RNAcentral describes it as "hypothetical non coding rna". The record is from RNAcentral. Lineage: Eukaryota; Viridiplantae; Streptophyta; Magnoliopsida; Asterales; Asteraceae.